GAUGAACGCUGGCGGCGUGCCUAAUACAUGCAAGUAGAACGCUGAAGGAGGAGCUUGCUCUUCUGGAUGAGUUGCGAACGGGUGAGUAACGCGUAGGUAACCUGCCUGGUAGCGGGGGAUAACUAUUGGAAACGAUAGCUAAUACCGCAUGACAACAGUUAUUGCAUGAUAACUGUUUAAAAGGGGCAACUGCUCCACUACCAGAUGGACCUGCGUUGUAUUAGCUAGUUGGUGAGGUAACGGCUCACCAAGGCGACGAUACAUAGCCGACCUGAGAGGGUGAGCGGCCACACUGGGACUGAGAAACGGCCCAGACGCCUACGGGAGGCAGCAGUAGGGAAUCUUCGGCAAUGGACGGAAGUCUGAACGAGCAACGCCGCGUGAGUGAAGAAGGUGUUCGGAUCGUAAAGCUCUGUUGUAAGAGAAGAACGAGUGUGAGAGUGGAAAGUUCACACUGUGACGGUAUCUUACCAGAAAGGGACGGCUAACUACGU
This 494-nucleotide ribosomal RNA is filed under the name uncultured bacterium. Its description in RNAcentral is "partial 16S ribosomal RNA". It matches the Rfam family "Bacterial small subunit ribosomal RNA", at positions 28 to 506 of the family's 1533-position model. The record is from RNAcentral.